Molecule: ribosomal RNA, 151 nt
Filed under: uncultured bacterium
Lineage: Bacteria
Description: partial 16S ribosomal RNA
Rfam family: Bacterial small subunit ribosomal RNA
Source: RNAcentral
GAGGAAUAUUGAUCAAUGGGCGAGAGCCUGAACCAGCCAAGUAGCGUGCAGGAAGACGGCCCUAUGGGUUGUAAACUGCUUUUAUACGGGGAUAAAGUGAGGGACGUGUCCCUUAUUGUAGGUACCGUAUGAAUAAGGACCGGCUAAUUCC